UCUUUUUAUUGUGUGCCAGCCGCCGCGGUAAUACGGAAGGUCCGGGCGUUAUCCGGAUUUAUUGGGUUUAAAGGGAGCGUAGGCCGGAGAUUAAGCGUGUUGUGAAAUGUAGACGCUCAACGUCUGCACUGCAGCGCGAACUGGUUUCCUUGAGUACGCACAAAGUGGGCGGAAUUCGUGGUGUAGCGGUGAAAUGCUUAGAUAUCACGAAGAACUCCGAUUGCGAAGGCAGCUCACUGGAGCGCAACUGACGCUGAAGCUCGAAAGUGCGGGUAUCGAACAGG
Molecule: ribosomal RNA, 284 nt
Filed under: Segatella copri DSM 18205
Lineage: Bacteria; Pseudomonadati; Bacteroidota; Bacteroidia; Bacteroidales; Prevotellaceae
Description: Prevotella copri DSM 18205 partial 16S ribosomal RNA
Rfam family: Bacterial small subunit ribosomal RNA
Source: RNAcentral